This 72-nucleotide transfer RNA is filed under the name Marmota monax (woodchuck). RNAcentral describes it as "tRNA.Ala". Lineage: Eukaryota; Metazoa; Chordata; Mammalia; Rodentia; Sciuridae. The record is from RNAcentral.
AGAGAUGUGGCUCAGAGGUGGAGCACUCACCUAGCAUGCGUGAGGCACUGGGUUCGAUCCUCAGCAGCAUGU